RNAcentral lists this microRNA precursor (201 nucleotides) under Oryza rufipogon (brownbeard rice). RNAcentral's name for it is "MIR812 microRNA precursor family". It matches the Rfam family "MIR812 microRNA precursor family". Lineage: Eukaryota; Viridiplantae; Streptophyta; Magnoliopsida; Poales; Poaceae. The record is from Rfam by way of RNAcentral.
UAUAAGUGUGGUUGUGAUUUUUUUCUCCAACGUUUGACCAUCUGUCUUAUUUGAAAAAAAAUAUGAUUAGUAUUUUUAUUGUUAUUAGAUGAUAAAACAUGAAUAAUACUUUAUGUGUGACUUUUAUAAUUUUUUUUAAAAUUUUUUUAAAUAAGACGGACGGUCAAAUGUUAAACAUAGAAACCCACACCUGCACUUAUU